RNAcentral lists this long non-coding RNA (380 nucleotides) under Pogonomyrmex barbatus (red harvester ant). Its description in RNAcentral is "uncharacterized LOC105431503". The record is from RNAcentral. Lineage: Eukaryota; Metazoa; Arthropoda; Insecta; Hymenoptera; Formicidae.
AUGUGUAUAUGGAAAGUUAUACCUUUUAAUCUCGAAUAUAUUCUUCAAUAUUAAAAAGUCAAGAUGUAUAGGAUACGAUAUACGAUGUGAUCAAAAGACGAAGUACACGAAGUCACCGAAAGACAAAUGAAAUCGUCGCGCAUCGUGAGAUAAACAAUGGAAAAUCGAGAUCAUUAUUUCUUUCUUAUUCGGCGACACAGCGAACAGCAUUCGACGACGCAAUGACAGCAAAAGAAAAAGUUUGCUGAUAUGAUGCAACAGCAGCAGAAACAGCAUGAGCUACAAAUGCAACAAUUAAGAGAGCAACAUGAGCUGCAAUUGCAACAGCUAUGGGAGCAAGUAAACUUGCUGAAACAACAACCGCAGCAGCAGCAGCAACA